RNAcentral lists this ribosomal RNA (425 nucleotides) under uncultured bacterium. RNAcentral's name for it is "partial 16S ribosomal RNA". It matches the Rfam family "Bacterial small subunit ribosomal RNA", at positions 354 to 796 of the family's 1533-position model. The record is from RNAcentral.
GUGGGGAAUCUUGCGCAAUGGGCGAAAGCCUGACGCAGCCAUGCCGCGUGAAUGAUGAAGGUCUUAGGAUUGUAAAAUUCUUUCACCGGGGACGAUAAUGACGGUACCCGGAGAAGAAGCUCCGGCUAACUUCGUGCCAGCAGCCGCGGUAAUACGAAGGGGGCUAGCGUUGCUCGGAAUUACUGAGCGUAAAGGGCGCGUAGGCGGACAGCUUAGUCAGAGGUGAAAGCCCAGGGCUCAACCUUGGAAUUGCCUUUGAUACUGGCUGUCUUGAGUUUGGGAGAGGUGAGUGGAACUCCGAGUGUAGAGGUGAAAUUCGUAGAUAUUCGGAAGAACACCAGUGGCGAAGGCGACUCACUGGCCCAAUACUGACGCUGAGGCGCGAAAGCGUGGGGAGCAAACAGGAUUAGAUACCCUUGUAGUCC